Molecule: long non-coding RNA, 1493 nt
Organism: Brassica napus (rape)
Lineage: Eukaryota; Viridiplantae; Streptophyta; Magnoliopsida; Brassicales; Brassicaceae
Exons: 6
Source: RefSeq, a predicted model, not a curated record
AAUAAAUAAAAACACAGAACCGGUUCUAAAUAUGACAUUUAGAGAGAUGGUUAGAACCCGUUACGUGUCUCUUUGAUAUUGGAUAAUGCAUUUUUUGUCUCUCUCUUCUUUCUCGAGGUUUCCAGCGUGACAACAAUAGACAAAUCCGUCGUUGAUCGGAAGGUGAAAGCUCCGUCACCGUCUCUUCUCCUUCAUCUCGUUCUCAUGACGCCACCGAGACCACCGUCAGGGAGACAAAGGCCGCUGCGUUAUUAAUCAGAUUCAGAGAGAACAGAAGGUAGCGGCAGUUGGGACACGCUUGAAUGAAACAAACUCAAUUCGCAGCACACAGCUUCAGGUUCAAGUUCAACAUCUUUCGCUAAUUUGAGUUGCUUGCUCGAAUCCGAGAGGGUCAUCGUUGAGAUUCUCUUGGUUUUGAAGAUCAUUCUUACUCUUUGAUGCUUUUACUACACAGAAGCUCAUAGGAAAUAUGGUGGAAUUGGAACUCUUCUUGUGAUCAAGGUCUCUCCUGAAUCAGCAAGCCAAUUUGGAGAACUGGUGGCAGAUCCAGUUACUAAUGAGCUGCUUCAUUACACCGAGAAACCCGAAACUUUUGUCAGUGACCGUAUUAACUGCUGUGUUUAUGUAUUUACACCUGACAUUUUUACUGCCAUAAGACUAAGAGAUGUUUCCUCUCAAAGGAAAGACACAGCAAUUCUGAGACGUGUUUCCAGCUUUGAAGCUCUUCAACUGGCAACAAGGCUUGUCUGUCUGUCUCUUGUCUGCGUGUCUCUUCAUACAUAACUGAAUAGCCUUUUGAACUGAAUCAUCUUCUUAUAUGAUAUGUUUUCACCCUUUAGAAAAAAAAAAAAAAUUAAGAACCUCUAAGAGGUUCUCUCAUUGGACCAUGAGAAAAUUAAUUACACUAACAAAGGUUCUAAACUUUUCAAAUCACACAAUUAAUUAUUAAAUUAUUCAUUAGAGCCCAUAAUAGGCUCUAACCAUUGGAGUUGCUCUUAGGGCCUGAGGCAUAAGAUGCCACUUUAGUCACAUGAAUAUGAACGAUCAACAUAUUCUUGUGGGUGAGGCAGUGGCAGACUUAAUUAAACGUAAUUGAUUCUGAGAUUUAUGGUUUAGAUUUUUAUAUCUGGUUUAGAGUUUAUGGAGUAUAAAACUAUACAGAUGGUAAUUUGUUUAUAGUAACUCUUUCGCAAAUGCCUAUACUAAAUGUUUAGUUUAUGUAUCAAUCAUGGAUCAUGAUGUGAGGCUCCAAUCCCGACAGAGUUAAUGACAUUGUAAUAAAUCGGGAAGUUGUAAUCAACUUUGUUGCUAAUGCACCCACUGCUGAACAACUCGAUGCCGUCACGAUUUGAUUGAUACCUGCUCAUUGACAUGCCAAAGUUAUUGGCACAUCAUGCUAGACUUGAGAAAGGCCCCAGUAAGAGCCAAUAUCUUUGUAAAAUAAAUUCAGUUCAAUAUAAAAUACUUCUCGAAUCUUUGUUUACUUCGAGCAA